Long non-coding RNA from Megalobrama amblycephala (Wuchang bream), 397 nucleotides. RefSeq lists it as uncharacterized. Lineage: Eukaryota; Metazoa; Chordata; Actinopteri; Cypriniformes; Xenocyprididae. The record is from RefSeq and is a predicted model, not a curated record. The transcript is spliced from 2 exons.
CGUUUGAGAUGCAUUCGGCGCUGUGCAGACCGAUCAGCCAAUGACAUCAAAGUACCGCGAGAGCGAUUAAUAAGGAGUAGUAUGCUUUCCAGUCACUCUACUCUACUCUACUUUGAUCACACCAAGCAGUCUGUGCAGCACCGAUGUAUCUCGGAGGUCUGCCAACCGCCAUUAACUCCAGAAGAAGAAGAAGAAGAAGAUGUAUCUCGGAACAAGCCUAAUAUUCACAACUGUCAGGUGCUUCGGCGCGGCCUUUUUCCUUUAUCUCACCAGGUGUGCAGGUCAAAAUUGCACGAGGAAGAUGUGGCCUCCCUAUACUGCAGGGACAACCUUGCAGUCAUAUGCAAACAAUUUGCUGCUCUUUGUUUCAUCCUGCCCCCAGCUGAAACUGAAAAUU